Long non-coding RNA from Strongylocentrotus purpuratus (purple sea urchin), 262 nucleotides. RefSeq lists it as uncharacterized. The transcript is spliced from 2 exons. The record is from RefSeq and is a predicted model, not a curated record. NCBI's taxonomy places the organism in Eukaryota, Metazoa, Echinodermata, Echinoidea, Camarodonta, Strongylocentrotidae.
CAUUCAUCUCCUCAUCAAAGUGAUUGCAGAAAUUCUCCUAUAAAACCUUCACUCGAAGUAAAUUUUAAAAAAAUCUCUCGGCUGCUAUCAGCAAACUGUUCAAGAUGAAGUCGUUCUUUGUCGUCACUUUAGUUCUAUUUCCAUGUCUGUGUCUUGUUGAAGUCACCCAAGCCGUUGCUGUUUCAAAGGAAGGUACGCAAGAUGAAGCUUUUGCCCCUGAAAACAUUGUAGAUUCAGGCAAACUGACACAGACAGAAGAAGA